This 102-nucleotide small nuclear RNA is filed under the name Propithecus coquereli (Coquerel's sifaka). The record is from RNAcentral. Lineage: Eukaryota; Metazoa; Chordata; Mammalia; Primates; Indriidae.
GUGCUCACUUCAGCAGCACAUAUACAAAAUCCGAUACAGAGAAGAUUAGCAUGGCCCCUGCACAAGAAUGACACACAAAUUUAUGAAGCAUUCCAUGUUUUU